Molecule: ribosomal RNA, 491 nt
Filed under: Piezonotus dammerincola
Lineage: Eukaryota; Metazoa; Arthropoda; Insecta; Coleoptera; Curculionidae
Description: partial 16S ribosomal RNA
Source: RNAcentral
UCGAACAGACCUAAAUUUUUCAGCUCCUACACCAAAAUUUUAUUUUAAUCCAACAUCGARGUCGCAAUCCCUUUUUUCGAUUUGAACUCUUUAAAAAAAUUACGCUGUUAUCCCUAARGUAAUUUAUUCUUAUAAUCUCUAUUUAARGAUCAUAUACUCAUAAAUAAAUGUUUAAAUAUAAAAAAAGUUUAAUAAAUUUUUCAAUCACCCCAACCAAAUUAAUUUUCAUAUAAAAAAUAAUUAAUACUAAAAUUUCCCAUAUAAAUUUUAAUAAAACUCUAUAGGGUCUUCUCGUCUUUUAUCACAAUUUAAGCUUUCUUACUUAAAAAUAAAAUUCUAAUAAAUUUAAAUAGAGACAGUCAUUUUUCCAUCAAACCUUUCAUUCCAGCUUUCAAUUAAAAAACUAAUUAUUAUGCUACCUUUGCACGGUCAGGUUACCGCGGCCAUUUAAAAUUCAUAGGGCAGGUCAGACCUUAAAUUAUAUUCAAAAG